UACGUAGGGGGCAAGCGUUGUCCGGAUUUAUUGGGCGUAAAGCGCACGCAGGCGGUCUCUUAAGUUUUGAGUGACAGGUAGUGGCUCGACCACAACAGGCCUCAGAAGACUGGGAGACUUGAGGACGAGAGAGGGAUGCGGAAUUCCAGGUGGAGCGGUGAAAUGCGUAGAGAUGUGGAGGAAUCCCGAUGGCGAAGGCAGCCCCCUGGGAUAACCCUGACGCUCAUGCACGAAAGCGUGGGAGCAAACAGG
This 252-nucleotide ribosomal RNA is filed under the name uncultured bacterium. RNAcentral describes it as "partial 16S ribosomal RNA". It matches the Rfam family "Bacterial small subunit ribosomal RNA", at positions 524 to 776 of the family's 1533-position model. The record is from RNAcentral.